RNAcentral lists this transfer RNA (94 nucleotides) under Gemmatimonadetes bacterium T265. RNAcentral's name for it is "tRNA-Gly". The record is from RNAcentral. Lineage: Bacteria; Pseudomonadati; Gemmatimonadota.
UCCACCCCUUAGCCGAGGACCGCGACGCGUACUACCGGUACACGGGCGGCGACACGGUCGUGACGCUCCGCGUGCCGACGGGCGGGGGAGGGGU